Molecule: ribosomal RNA, 348 nt
Filed under: uncultured Bacteroides sp.
Lineage: Bacteria; Pseudomonadati; Bacteroidota; Bacteroidia; Bacteroidales; Bacteroidaceae
Description: bacterial SSU rRNA
Rfam family: Bacterial small subunit ribosomal RNA
Source: RNAcentral
AGGAAGAAAGCUUGCUUUCUUUGCUGGCGACCGGCGCACGGGUGAGUAACACGUAUCCAACCUGCCCUUUACUCGGGGAUAGCCUUUCGAAAGAAAGAUUAAUACCCGAUAGCAUAAUGAUUCCGCAUGGUUUCAUUAUUAAAGGAUUCCGGUAAAGGAUGGGGAUGCGUUCCAUUAGGUUGUUGGUGAGGUAACGGCUCACCAAGCCUUCGAUGGAUAGGGGUUCUGAGAGGAAGGUCCCCCACAUUGGAACUGAGACACGGUCCAAACUCCUACGGGAGGCAGCAGUGAGGAAUAUUGGUCAAUGGGCGUUAGCCUGAACCAGCCAAGUAGCGUGAAGGAUGAAGG